This 522-nucleotide ribosomal RNA is filed under the name uncultured bacterium. RNAcentral's name for it is "partial 16S ribosomal RNA". It matches the Rfam family "Bacterial small subunit ribosomal RNA", at positions 355 to 878 of the family's 1533-position model. The record is from RNAcentral.
UGAGGAAUAUUGGUCAAUGGACGAGAGUCUGAACCAGCCAAGUCGCGUGAAGGAUGAAGGUUCUAUGGAUUGUAAACUUCUUUUGUACAGGGGUAAAACACUCUACGUGUAGAGUCUUGCAAGUACUGUACGAAUAAGCAUCGGCUAACUCCGUGCCAGCAGCCGCGGUAAUACGGAGGAUGCGAGCGUUAUCCGGAUUUAUUGGGUUUAAAGGGUGCGUAGGCGGUUUAUUAAGUCAGCGGUGAAAGUUUGAGGCUCAACCUUAAAUUGCCGUUGAAGCUGGUAGACUUGAGUAUAGAUGAAGUAGGCGGAAUUAGUGGUGUAGCGGUGAAAUGCAUAGAUAUCACUAGGAGCUCCGAUAGCGAAGGCAGCUUACUAAGGUAUAACUGACGCUGAUGCACGAAAGUGUGGGUAUCAAACAGGAUUAGAUACCCUGGUAGUCCACACAGUAAACGAUGAUUACUAGUUGUUUGCGAUAUACAGUAAGUAACUAAGCGAAAGCGAUAAGUAAUCCACCUGGGG